RNAcentral lists this ribosomal RNA (384 nucleotides) under uncultured bacterium. Its description in RNAcentral is "bacterial SSU rRNA". It matches the Rfam family "Bacterial small subunit ribosomal RNA", at positions 28 to 416 of the family's 1533-position model. The record is from RNAcentral.
GACGAACGCUGGCGGCGUGCUUAACACAUGCAAGUCGAGCGGUAAGGCCCUUUCGGGGGUACACGAGCGGCGAACGGGUGAGUAACACGUGGGUGACCUGCCCUCAGCUCUGGGAUAAGCCUGGGAAACUGGGUCUAAUACCGGAUAUGACUUCGCAUCGCAUGGUGUGGUGUGGAAAGUUUUUCGGCUGGGGAUGGGCCCGCGGCCUAUCAGCUUGUUGGUGGGGUGAUGGCCACCAAGGCGACGACGGGUAGCCGGCCUGAGAGGGCGACCGGCCACACUGGGACUGAGACACGGCCCAGACUCCUACGGGAGGCAGCAGUGGGGAAUAUUGCGCAAUGGGCGAAAGCCUGACGCAGCGACGCCGCGUGGGUGAUGAAGGCC